Molecule: ribosomal RNA, 1196 nt
Filed under: Curvularia verruculosa
Lineage: Eukaryota; Fungi; Ascomycota; Dothideomycetes; Pleosporales; Pleosporaceae
Description: LSU rRNA
Rfam family: Eukaryotic large subunit ribosomal RNA
Source: RNAcentral
CGUCACAGAGGGUGAGAAUCCCGUACGUGGUCGCUAGCUAUUGCCGUGUAAAGCCCCUUCGACGAGUCGAGUUGUUUGGGAAUGCAGCUCUAAAUGGGAGGUAAAUUUCUUCUAAAGCUAAAUAUUGGCCAGAGACCGAUAGCGCACAAGUAGAGUGAUCGAAAGAUGAAAAGCACUUUGGAAAGAGAGUCAAACAGCACGUGAAAUUGUUGAAAGGGAAGCGCUUGCAGCCAGACUUGCUUGCAGUUGCUCAUCCGGGCUUUUGCCCGGUGCACUCUUCUGCAGGCAGGCCAGCAUCAGUUUGGGCGGUGGGAUAAAGGUCUCUGUCACGUACCAUCCUUCGGGAUGGCCAUAUAGGGGAGACGUCAUACCACCAGCCUGGACUGAGGUCCGCGCAUCUGCUAGGAUGCUGGCGUAAUGGCUGUAAGCGGCCCGUCUUGAAACACGGACCAAGGAGUCUAACAUCUAUGCGAGUGUUUGGGUGUCAAGCCCGAGCGCGUAAUGAAAGUGAACGGAGGUGGGAACCCGCAAGGGUGCACCAUCGACCGAUCCUGAAGUUUACGGAAGGAUUUGAGUAAGAGCAUGGCUGUUGGGACCCGAAAGAUGGUGAACUAUGCUUGAAUAGGGUGAAGCCAGAGGAAACUCUGGUGGAGGCUCGCAGCGGUUCUGACGUGCAAAUCGAUCGUCAAAUUUGGGCAUAGGGGCGAAAGACUAAUCGAACUAUCUAGUAGCUGGUUCCUGCCGAAGUUUCCCUCAGGAUAGCAGUAACGUAUUCAGUUUUAUGAGGUAAAGCGAAUGAUUAGAGGCAUGGGGGGUUGAAACAACCUUCACCUAUUCUCAAACUUUAAAUAUGUAAGAAGCCCUUUGUUACUUAAUUGAACGCGGGCAUUUGAAUGAAACGUUAUUAGUGGGCCAUUUUUGGUAAGCAGAACUGGCGAUGCGGGAUGAACCGAACGAGGGGUUACGGUGCCGGAGUACACGCUCAUCAGACACCACAAAAGGUGUUGGUUCAUCUAGACAGCAGGACGGUGGCCAUGGAAGUCGGAAUCCGCUAAGGAGUGUGUAACAACUCACCUGCCGAAUGAACUAGCCCUGAAAAUGGAUGGCGCUCAAGCGUGUCACCUAUACCCCUCCGCCGGGGCAAAAUUUACGCCCCGGCGAGUAGGCAGGCGUGGAGGCUCGUGACGAAGCCUUGG